RNAcentral lists this ribosomal RNA (253 nucleotides) under uncultured bacterium. RNAcentral's name for it is "partial 16S ribosomal RNA". It matches the Rfam family "Bacterial small subunit ribosomal RNA", at positions 524 to 776 of the family's 1533-position model. The record is from RNAcentral.
UACGGGGGGGGUAAGCGUUGUUCGGAAUUACUGGGCGUAAAGGGCUCGUAGGCGGCCAACUAAGUCGGACGUGAAAUCCCCAGGCUCAACCUGGGAACUGCGUCCGAUACUGGAUGGCUUGAAUCCGGGAGAGGGAUGCAGAAUUCCAGGUGUAGCGGUGAAAUGCGUAGAUAUCUGGAGGAAUACCGGUGGCGAAGGCGGCAUCCUGGACCAAUACUGACGCUGAGGAGCGAAAGCCAGGGGAGCAAACGGG